Molecule: ribosomal RNA, 253 nt
Filed under: uncultured bacterium
Lineage: Bacteria
Description: partial 16S ribosomal RNA
Rfam family: Bacterial small subunit ribosomal RNA
Source: RNAcentral
UACGGAGGGGGCUAGCGUUGUUCGGACUUACUGGGCGUAAAGCGCGCGUAGGCGGACUGUUAAGUCGGGGGUGAAAUCCCGGGGCUCAACCCCGGAACUGCCUUCGAUACUGGCGGUCUAGAGGUCUGGAGAGGUGAGUGGAAUUCCGAGUGUAGAGGUGAAAUUCGUAGAUAUUCGGAGGAACACCAGAGGCGAAGGCGCCUCACUGGCCAGAUUCUGACGCUGAGGUGCGAAAGCGUGGGGAGCAAACAGG